CAUGAUCUCAUUUAUAAGACCUUCUGGGAAAAUGAAGAACCAUAGGGGCAGAAAUCAGAUCAGCGGAUUCCAGGAGCUGGAGAGCCCAUGUGAGGAUGUUCUCAAGUGCUGUCAAUGACACGUGAGUUUGUCCCAAGUCUCUGGAGAAGAAAGCCCAGACAAAUGAGGACCCCAACACAAGUAUUCUGUACUUAAGCAGUCCAUAGGUCCAAGGCAGGAAGACACAGGGAAAGGGCCUGGGUGAAGGAGAGAAGCUCAUGGCAAAGCAAACAGGAAGCAGAGAGAAUAGAGCGAGGAGGAGGGAGGAAGAUAAACCCUUCCGGGCCACGCCCCAGUGGCCCGCCUCUUCCAACCAGGCCCCACCUCAGCUAUAAUCCCUCUAUCAUCCAAUCACCUCCCCAAAGCCCCACCGACGACUGAAGGAGGCUUUCCUGGGACAUCUAGAAAGAAAC
Fukomys damarensis (Damara mole-rat) is the source of this 452-nucleotide long non-coding RNA. RefSeq lists it as uncharacterized. The record is from RefSeq and is a predicted model, not a curated record. The transcript is spliced from 3 exons. NCBI's taxonomy places the organism in Eukaryota, Metazoa, Chordata, Mammalia, Rodentia, Bathyergidae.